AGGAAAUGAGUGUUCUGCCAUGUGGGAGAGCUGCUCCCUCCCUGGAAGGGGGCACCCCUGUGUGCACAGAGCCUGAGCCCCUCCCUUCACUGAUGGGAGCUUUCCCGGAGCUAAUCCCAGAGGAGAGGCCCUGCCAGGCGUAAUCUUGGAUCAGAUGCCAGGGAGUGAAGGAUGGUGACACCCCCACACAGGCCUGAUGUGCAGGGUGAAGGCAGACGGCAGCCCAGGGGUCUCUCCUCCCCUGCCAACCUCCGUUCUGUGCCCUGGCGGUGA
RNAcentral lists this long non-coding RNA (273 nucleotides) under Homo sapiens (human). Its description in RNAcentral is "HSALNT0197800". The record is from RNAcentral. Lineage: Eukaryota; Metazoa; Chordata; Mammalia; Primates; Hominidae.